Molecule: transfer RNA, 90 nt
Rfam family: tRNA
About the family: Transfer RNA (tRNA) molecules are approximately 80 nucleotides in length. Their secondary structure includes four short double-helical elements and three loops (D, anti-codon, and T loops). Further hydrogen bonds mediate the characteristic L-shaped molecular structure. tRNAs have two regions of fundamental functional importance: the anti-codon, which is responsible for specific mRNA codon recognition, and the 3' end, to which the tRNAs corresponding amino acid is attached (by aminoacyl-tRNA synthetases). tRNAs cope with the degeneracy of the genetic code in two manners: having more than one tRNA (with a specific anti-codon) for a particular amino acid; and 'wobble' base-pairing, i.e. permitting non-standard base-pairing at the 3rd anti-codon position.
GGCGCGAUGGCCGAGCGGUCUAAGGCGCUAGAAUCAGGCUGUUGUCCUAUCUAGUCUUCACGGGCGGGGGUUCGAAUCCCCCUCGCGUCA